Molecule: long non-coding RNA, 2592 nt
Organism: Falco peregrinus (peregrine falcon)
Lineage: Eukaryota; Metazoa; Chordata; Aves; Falconiformes; Falconidae
Exons: 5
Source: RefSeq, a predicted model, not a curated record
UGUUAUUACAUACCUGUGGUUGAUGUCAGCAGGUUGAGGCUGGGACAGUGCCAUCAGAAGCUGUGUUUCCUUGAUAAAGCACCCACCUGACUAUGAGCAUCGCUUGGACACCAGGAGGGAAAGGUCCCGGAAGGGGAUACUGCAGUGCCCAGCAUCAGAGGAACCAGGGCUUUUCUCUUCAACAGAAGUCAGCAAAAGAAAUUUCCUCUACUUCCAACACAAAGGCAUGGCUCAUCUGUGUACUGGCCACUGAUGAGGUGGGACACUGAAGAACCUUAAGCAACUAAGCUUUGUCCAUGAUACUUCUGCUGCUGCUGCCCUGUGGGGUGCCAUUUGUGCCCAGCGCUGAGAACUGGCUGUGAGCAGUUGUUUGGGAGGGCUGCCAGAGGAACUCACUGGAGUGGGAAUGAAGGGCUGGGAGUCAAGCUGAAGUCCCUUUAGGGGCUCAUUUCUACUCAUCAGGCCUCUGAGCACCGCCACUGGUUCCCCUUUCCCAUAAGCAGCCGAAAGGCAGGAACGCGGGAGGCAAAUUGCAGCACUUGCAGCAAGCACUUCGCGACAUGCCCUGCGCAUCCAAACACAAUACAAUUUUGCAUCUGAGUACCAAAAGCUAAACAGCAGUGAGCUCACGGCAAGUUGGGAUUGGCCAGGAACUGGGUCAGGAUGAAGUGGGAUGAAGCAAACAAAACCUGAAGUCCUUGAGCGAGGCCCCCUGCCAAGCCCAUGCCGAUGCUCUCGCACUCUUUCCUGCUGAAGCACCCUCCAAGCCAGGUUCCCGGCAGCCACAGCCCUGUGGCAGGGCCAGCCUCUGCGAGCUGGAUACGUCUGCAACCCCAGCUUGAUGCCUAAAUGUGUCCAUUUCAAGAUCCUGCUUUGAAACGUACUGAGAAAACUCCAAAUACUACAGUCAACAGGAAGAACUUAUGAAAUGCAAAAGUAGCAGAAAACUGAGGCAGAGCACACGCUAAGCGUUGGGGAAGUACUGGCUGCAAACCACUGCAGGUAGUCCCACAAACGCACAACUUGGGAUUUCUUCGUUUUCUUAGAGGCUACAGGUAUCAGCCAUGACAUAGGGAAAAUACUGCAUUGGAUUGACUUAGGAUCCCAUCAGGUCUGGCAGUCUGUUUUUUCUUAAGGGGGAAAAAAAUGAACACUCACACACACUGCUACAACAACGUGAAGUAUUUUCCUCUUCAAGGGCCUUUCCUCGCUAUCCAAUGUCUUCCUUUAAAGAAUGGUGCAGAAGUCAAGCAGAGCUGUGCAUCAUCCAGAAAGCACGCAGCACUCAGCCACAGCGCUCAAGGAUUCCUAGAAGCCAGUGCUGCAUGGGGAGAGCUAAACCAGGGGAUGUUUUAAGUGGGAUGCAGCAAGCAGCAAGCGUGCAGCUGGUCCUCCCAUUCGGGGAAGUGGGGCUUGGAAACAACACUGGGGGUUUGCAAUCUGGCAACGCGUGCGUCUUCCACUUGGAGCAAGAAAUGUCAAGGAGAAUUAGUGAGAUGACUGGAGACUUAGACUGCAAUAGGAAGCAACUGCUGUUCAUAAGCAGGCUGUGACUGCUCAGCCUUGCUAAUCAGAUUUCGGAAGAUGCUCAGCUGGCUCAUGCUGUAGGGUGCUCAUUGCAUGUUUUGCUAACAAUGCUGUGCUGAGGGGGGUGUCCAUAUUUCAGGGAAUAUGGGGGAGCCUGAUUUAAUGCCCAUAAGUGCUGGUUUUCUCAGCGGAGGGGGAAAAGGCCAUUUGGAAACCUGUAUAUGUGGGGCAUGGCUCUGAUACCCGCUCUGUAAGUCAUUUAGAGCAAGCAAGGCGGGACCAGAUGCUCCUCUGAGCACCAGCUGUGAGCACCGAGCUUACCAAAACCCAGCCUUAUCCAAACAGAUCUGCUGGCUGGGGGUGACCCGACAACCUGCCCAAUUUCCUGGGCGGCUGGAACCUGUCCCCAUGCCCAGCGCACGGUGGCUUGGUCAUGCUGGGCCUCGGCAUGUCAGCGCCAGGAGGAAAAGCAGCCACAUCCAGCUCCGGCAUGCCAGCUUCAUUGCUGCUCGGCUGGUGCAGCCUGCUUCAGCCCCUCUCCCACUGAAGCACACUUUUGAGCCGAGGCACUAGAGAGUAUGGAUCAAUGUUUGAGCCAAGGGAAAUGGGGAUCCUUUGCACUGGAUCAAGGUUUUAAUUAGUACAGGAUUUUGUGAUUUUGCAUGAUUUGCUUGAUACCAGUUCCCGCGAAGAACGAAAGUUUACUUCCAUUUCCCAGUGCUCUAUAAAAGCAGCUUCCGUUAGCGCAGCCUGUGCUCUCAACUGUGCUGUAUAUGGCGUUUCUAUUUUUAGAAACCAGGGUUGCCAUGACAACCCAGUGUAUUUUUUGUUAAAUAUAGCAGCUGUUGCAGAGAACUCUUGUCCUUCUGGAUGUAAAGGCUGUGUUUUUGCCCUCUGACAGAGCUUAGGGUAUUAAAUGCAGAUGAGAAAGGAUGAUUAAAUAAGUGGAAGCCCAGAAGAAACCAUGGAUCUGUAAUUACACAGAGAGGUUUUGAAUGAAGCUCUGUGUGUCUGCUGCUUCAGAAGCAGCCCUUCUGCAUUAGAAAUGAUGUAGGGACAGGGAUG